AAUACCCUCAUCGUAAGCUUCUAUGUUUCACCAAAAACAUUUCUAUCCCUGUUUGGCACUAAUUUCAUUUGCUUCCGUCAAUCUUUACUAGAAAAUAAUGACAUCUGAAAUAACUAAUUCUCAUACAUCGAUCAAGUUCGAUUUGAAGAUUCACAACUUCUCAAAUCUCGGAUGUAAACAUAAAUCUGAUGUUUUCUCUGUGGGUAACAUAAAAUGGAGAGUGAAAGUAUACCCGAAGGGAGACAGUAGAUCAUGGAAUCAUAUGGCCAUAUACCUCAUUCCUGAUGACAAGACCAAAUCGCCAUAUGCGGAGUUCAGUUUCGUCAUUAAGAGUCAAACUAGUAGCAGAAACAACGAGAAAGGCCCAGUAUUACAACACCAAUUCUCGCAAGGAUCAAAGGGCCAUGGUUGGCCGAAAUUCAUAACUCCUGACGACCUCCAUGACCGCUCUUUGGGAUAUCUGAAACACAAUACUUGUAUCAUUCAAGUAAAGGUUAAAUGUCGGACAAGGGAUGCGGCGAGAGGUUAAUCUUUAUUGUUUAUUUCGAUCACGGGUACUUGUUGCUUUGCUACCUACCGUUAUUGGAGCUUCUAUGCAAUUUGAUCAUGAUGAAGUCCGUUUACGCUGUCUCUGUUAAGUACUGGUGUGGUGUUGUUAUUUGGAGUGCCUGCUAUUGGUUUUUCGGGUCUUCUUUGUGUUGUUGAAGUUGUUAAAACGGAGGAUGGAAAAACAAUACAGGAACGACCAGAAUGUUUUAUCACUGGAGCUUCAAGGCCUUGCGGAUUCUUUUCAGCAAUUAUUUCGACCAUUCCCAAAUAAUUGGCGAGUACAAUCAGUCAGCGAAAUAUUGCUUUCAGGAUACAAUGAAGCCCUAACAACGUUGUUGGGUUCAAGAGUUGUACUCCCUUGACCCAUCCAAGAACACACAGUAUUUAGAUUCUGAUGAUGCUUAGAGAGAAAAGAAAUCGGAGAUUUUAUUGCGUUUUUCAUACUUGAAUGGAAAUAAAUCAUCACUACUUAUAGAUGACUCAUGCCUAUUGGAGAUGCCUCUUCAUUAUCAAAAGACACCAAUAGUGUCUAAUGGGAAUGGACGUGUCUCUUGUGAACCAUCACGCCCUUUGGAGAUGCCUUUUCAUCUCCAACAAAAUUCCAUUGCAUCUAUUAGGCGCACGACGCUCCCCAUCGUAGUGGCAAACCAAAAAAUGAAAACCAUUUUAUUUUCUAUACUAUUGAAAAUAUCCAACAUUCAAAAAUAAAAAUUAUAUUUGAUUUGAUUCUUCAAAUCUUCCAGACAAAUCAAGGUUAUUUCUCUUAGUUUUAU
This is an RNA transcript of Papaver somniferum (opium poppy), 1322 nucleotides long. It is a transcript of the gene named ubiquitin carboxyl-terminal hydrolase 12-like, with no coding region annotated. The record is from RefSeq and is a predicted model, not a curated record. The transcript has 4 exons. Lineage: Eukaryota; Viridiplantae; Streptophyta; Magnoliopsida; Ranunculales; Papaveraceae.